AGCAGUAGCCACGGUAAUACGAAGGGUGCAAGCGUUAAUCGGAAUUACUGGGCGUAAAGCGUGCGUAGGCGGUUUGUUAAGUCUGUUGUGAAAUCCCCGGGCUCAACCUGGGAAUGGCAGUGGAUACUGGCUCGCUAGAGUGUGUCAGAGGAUGGUGGAAUUCCCGGUGUAGCGGUGAAAUGCGUAGAGAUCGGGAGGAACAUCAGUGGCGAAGGCGGCCAUCUGGGACAACACUGACGCUGAGGCACGAAAGCGUGGGGAGCAAACAGGAUUAGAUACCCGCGUAGUCCCUGUCUCUUAUAC
Molecule: ribosomal RNA, 303 nt
Filed under: uncultured bacterium
Lineage: Bacteria
Description: partial 16S ribosomal RNA
Rfam family: Bacterial small subunit ribosomal RNA
Source: RNAcentral